AUCUUUUGAUAGCUCAGUUGGGUAGAGCGUGGUGCUGAUAAUGCCAAGGUCACAGGUUCGAAUCCCAUAUGGGACA
Molecule: transfer RNA, 76 nt
Filed under: Podarcis lilfordi (Lilford's wall lizard)
Lineage: Eukaryota; Metazoa; Chordata; Lepidosauria; Squamata; Lacertidae
Description: tRNA.Ile
Rfam family: tRNA (bases 10-68)
About the family: Transfer RNA (tRNA) molecules are approximately 80 nucleotides in length. Their secondary structure includes four short double-helical elements and three loops (D, anti-codon, and T loops). Further hydrogen bonds mediate the characteristic L-shaped molecular structure. tRNAs have two regions of fundamental functional importance: the anti-codon, which is responsible for specific mRNA codon recognition, and the 3' end, to which the tRNAs corresponding amino acid is attached (by aminoacyl-tRNA synthetases). tRNAs cope with the degeneracy of the genetic code in two manners: having more than one tRNA (with a specific anti-codon) for a particular amino acid; and 'wobble' base-pairing, i.e. permitting non-standard base-pairing at the 3rd anti-codon position.
Source: RNAcentral